RNAcentral lists this ribosomal RNA (742 nucleotides) under Brevibacterium casei. RNAcentral's name for it is "bacterial SSU rRNA". It matches the Rfam family "Bacterial small subunit ribosomal RNA", at positions 40 to 791 of the family's 1533-position model. Lineage: Bacteria; Bacillati; Actinomycetota; Actinomycetes; Micrococcales; Brevibacteriaceae. The record is from RNAcentral.
CUGCGUGCUUAACACAUGCAAGUCGAACGCUGAAGCCUGGUGCUUGCACCGGGUGGAUGAGUGGCGAACGGGUGAGUAACACGUGAGUAACCUGCCCCUGWCUUCGGGAUAAGCCCGGGAAACUGGGUCUAAUACCGGAUACGACCGUCGGACGCAUGUCUGGUGGUGGAAAGUUUUUUCGGKUGGGGAUGGGCUCGCGGCCUAUCAGUUUGUUGGUGAGGUAAUGGCUCACCAAGACGACGACGGGUAGCCGGCCUGAGAGGGCGACCGGCCACACUGGGWCUGAGACACGSCCCAGACUCCUACGGGAGGCAGCAGUGGGGAAUAUUGCACARUGGGGGAAACCCUGAUGCAGCGACRCAGCGUGCGGGAUGACGGCCUUCGGGUUGUAAACCGYUUUCAGCAGGGAAGAAGCGCAAGUGACGGUACCUGCAGAAGAAGUACCGGCUAACUACGUGCCAGCAGCCGCGGUAAUACGUAGGGUACGAGCGUUGUCCGGAAUUAUUGGGCGUAAAGAGCUCGUAGGUGGUUGGUCACGUCUGCUGUGGAAACGCAACGCUUAACGUUGCGCGUGCAGUGGGUACGGGCUGACUAGAGUGCAGUAGGGGAGUCUGGAAUUCCUGGUGUAGCGGUGAAAUGCGCAGAUAUCAGGAGGAACACCGGUGGCGAAGGCGGGACUCUGGGCUGUAACUGACACUGAGGAGCGAAAGCAUGGGGAGCGAACAGGAUUAGAUACCCUGGU